UUCGUUUGUGCUGCUAUAGUUUUUGAGAUAUUACAAAUUUUAUUUUUGGGCGAUGAUGUCAUCAUCCCCCCAGUUUGCUCCAAAAUAUACCAGACUUGUCUACUUUUUUAGUGCUUCGUUUGUGCUGAUUUGUGCCGGUAAAAUUUUCGUUUGUGCUGCUAUCGUUUUUCGGAUAUUAAAGAUUAUGUUUUAGGUCAUUCAGAGGUCAUCAUCCCCCCAGCUUGCUCCAAAAUGAACCAGACUUGUCUACUUUUUUAGUGCUUCGUUUGUGCUGAUUUGUGCCGUUAAAAUUUUCGUUUGUGCUGCUAUCGUUUUUCAGAUAUUACAAGUUUUAUUUUUGGGCGAUGACGUCAUCAUCCCCCCAGCUUGCUCCAAAAUAUACCAGACUUGUCUACUUUUUUAGUGCUUCGUUUGUGCUGAUUUGUGCCGUUAAAAUUUUCGUUUGUGCUGCUAUAGUUUUUCAGAUAUUAUAAGUUUUAUUUACAGACGAUCACGACCCGAAUUGAUGACGUCUGUGGUCUGCGCCAUAGACAUCAACACCACCGUCCGUGGCUGUCAACAGCGGCAGCGUUCUGCGCUUCCUACAGAAUGUUGUACUACUUAUCUGUUAUUAAAUCAGCGACAAAGUGAAGUUGUCGGAUGUUACCAAUACAAGAAGGAAUGAAACUUCUGCUGGACACUGAGAAUGCUCCAGGAUUGGCCUGAGGCAGGGAGACUGGGGCAGCCGGAGUCCUUCUUCCACAGCAGUGUCAAGCUGAGCCACACCAGAAUUCCUCAGAACAGAAAGGUCAGGAGAAACAAGUGGCACUUCCCUUGUCAUUCCUUUGCUGAGGUAACAGUACUGUGAAGAGCAGUGUUUUGUGAGAUACACACUGGAUACAUUUCUCAUUGUUUUUGCAAUGACAGUAGAGAUGUUGCACUGUGCAUCAACUUGGAGGGCACCGGACCUCAACUGGACUGCUUCAAACAUUGUACUAAGCAGCUCUGCCCUCUGUGAGUAUGUCUGUUUGGCGACCCCAUCUGUGACGACAGCUUUCACCAGCUGCAAGACUGGGUUGUCACCAUCUCUCCUAACAGCAUUUUGAAAUGCAGAGCUGUCACAGAAAGCACAACAUAAAGCCUGACAAAACGCAUCAAAUGUGCAGGUGUUCAACACAGAGAUCAUUGAUUUGCCAAGUCUAAUAGGCUGAUGAAGGUUUCCAUUUUUUAAUAAUCCCACCUUCACUCUUUUGGCCCCAAAAGAUGGAUCUACGUGGAGCCACUCAGCGCAAGGAGAGAGGUAGGAAGUCCUCUUCCUUUUUUUGGGUGGAACCACUAGGCCUCUCCAGUUUUCGACCGCUUCAUCAUCUGCUGAAGGAAUGUUUGUGGCAGCAUCACAUUCCACAAAAGGGUGAACAUCCAUUUUUUUCUUGCCUUCCGCACUGUGGGUAGUCAUGGAUGCUGGAUUGGCUUCUGUGACUAUCACAGAUGCCGCUGUUGCCUCAUCUUUCAUUUCUUUUGCAGAGCAAAUCCGCAUAUUUCCUUCAAUGAAAGACAGAUGACGAGCAAUGAAGCGAUCAACUCGAACAGGCAAGUUUUCAUGUUUGAAAAGGCCAUGUUUUAUAUUUUUGAACUCUGCUUCAGCAGUGGCUGAGCUUGCUGUGAUGCUGGUGCUUUGGAAGAGAGGGACCAUUAUUCCUGUCCAGAGAGGUCAGUCUGGAUCUCAUCACAUGGAUCCACUGUUUUCAUUUCCUCUCUAUCUUCUCCUGGAGUGAUGAUGGAGUCCUCUGCAAUUUGGGCUUUUAGGUAUUUCUUGCACCUUUCUGAUGCGAGAGGGACUCCAGAACUGUCGUCACCCUCUGCCUCACUGAGGGCAACAACAGUGAUAGCACGCAAUCCCACUGGCAGAUCAUCUUGAUGCAGUGUGCAACAUCAACCCUGACAAAACAAGGGGGAAGUUUUGCAGACUGGUUCCCACCAUUUGCACCACUGGGACACUGGAGCAGUUGUGUGCUGUCAGAACACCUUGAUAAAGGAAGAUAUGGCCAGAUGUACCAUUUGGUCUCACCAGUUUUCUCACUACUGAGCCAGUUGCAUCAAAACACACUGCUGGGGUGGCCAAAUUUGGUAGGUGGCUUGGCUCAGGAUCUCCAACAUCCAUUAGAUCUGCUGCCUUUGCUGACCUCCAUACAGCUGGUUCCAUCCUGCCCUCACACAGCUCUUUCGCAAUCUGCUCACGCAGGUUUCCAGACAUGAACCGCUUGGAACGGCCAGUGUGCAGCGAGAUGUCUGUAUUUUUUAUGUCACACUGAAACAUCAUUGGGCUAUUAAUUGCUGGCUCUCUGCCACAUUUCAUUUCCAAAUGGCCAUUGCACUCCUUACAGUAGCCUCUAAUCUGUAUGUAAGCAUUGGUGACAGUUGGAUAAACCUUGGCUCUUUGGAACACAAAUGUGCAUGAGUUUUUUAUCUUCUUCCACAAUAAAUUAUUUAUGAGAUGAGUCCAAGUGCCAGGUUUCAAAACUGUGUAUUCCCUUUUCUGAGAUGGAGAAAACUUGUCUUUGUAUUGCACUUUUUCUGGAAUAAAUUUAAUCCAUUCCUCAAAAGGCACUUCCAGCUGAAAAGCUUGACAAUCUUUUUGUUCAGGAGAAAUGCAACCUGAGUCUGACUCCAUGUCAACAGUACUGUCUGGAUCACUUUCCUGGUCACUAAAUUCCAAAACUGACCAGAUGUUAUGUCUGUUCAGCUUCACAAAAGUGUACAGGGCCUUUGCAGACAUCUUGCCUUCUAACUGCUGACUCAGCUCUGUCCAGACAGUGGCAGCUGGAGUGGCUAUUUUGCCAUUGUUGACUAUGGCCUCUUUUGAAGUGCAGAGAACAGCAAAAAUUGAAUCCCUGUCUACUGAUGGCUUUCGGGGCAUCUAGUUAAAAAAAAAAAAAAACGAUGAUUAGCACUGAUCAAAACAUUAAUUCUGGCCUAUAUAAUCUUCCUGGAGACACAAAGCAUAUCAGUCUCCAGCAAUCUACAUGCUUACUUGGGUCUUUUGUGCAUUUACAAAUGAAGUGUUUCCUGUUUAAUUUUGAAAAUGUUAGCGAUACCAUGUUAGCUAAAUCAUGUUAACUUGGAAUUUUACUGCAUUAUUUUUGCUAAAACCUCGGUAUUUUACAAGUGCACUUACCAUGUCUAGAAAUCAGAUUUAUCUGAAGGUUGUAAAAAUACCACUGAAACGGUAAAAUUGUGAAAAGGUCAUCCAAUGUGUGUGUCUUGUGAAAUGGCUGUGAAAGACUGCUAUUUUGUGUCGUUCUUAGUGGGGAGUGCUGAAUGUUUUUUUUUUUUAAAUGCUUCAUGCUCCUAAAUAAACUUUGAAGCAGUUUCAUUUAUUGUCUUAUGACAGAAAUGUGAUUGGCAAAGUAAAUAUAAAGCACAGUUCAUUAAAAAUGUAAAUUAGUAACAUAAAUACACAUUCUACGUUUAUUUAACCAAAUUUUAUUGAACAAAUGUACACACAAAGGCACAAAGUCAGUUCAAAGAGACAUUUUCCAGCAAUAACAGGUUGAACAUCCUCAGAUGUUAUUACAGUAGUUCUAUACACAUUAUAUACAUUAAGACGUUAUAAACGUGGCAGACCACAGACUUCAAUUCGGGUCAUGUGAUCGUCUGUAAAUAAAACUUGUAAUAUCUGAAAAACGAUAGCAGCACAAACGAAAAUUUUAACGGCACAAAUCAGCACAAACGAAGCACUAAAAAAGUAGACAAGUCUGGUUCAUUUUGGAGCAAGCUGGGGGGAUGAUGACCUCUGAAUGACCUAAAAAAUAAUCUUUAAUAUCCGAAAAACGAUAGCAGCACAAACGAAAAUUUUACCGGCACAAAUCAGCACAAACGAAGCACUAAAAAAGUAGACAAGUCUGGUAUAUUUUGGAGCAAACUGGGGGGAUGAUGACAUCAUCGCCCAAAAAUAAAAUUUGUAAUAUCUCAAAAACUAUAGCAGCACAAACGAAAAUUUUACCGGCACAAAUCAGCACAAACGAAGCACUAAAAAAGUAGACAAGUCUGGUAUAUUUUGGAGCAAGCUGGGGGGAUGAUGACGUCAUCGCCCAAAAAUAAAACUUGUAAUAUCUGAAAAACUAUAGCAGCACAAACGAAAAUUUUAACGGCACAAAUCAACACAAA
Molecule: long non-coding RNA, 4146 nt
Organism: Acanthochromis polyacanthus (spiny chromis)
Lineage: Eukaryota; Metazoa; Chordata; Actinopteri; Pomacentridae
Exons: 6
Source: RefSeq, a predicted model, not a curated record